Molecule: ribosomal RNA, 253 nt
Filed under: uncultured bacterium
Lineage: Bacteria
Description: partial 16S ribosomal RNA
Rfam family: Bacterial small subunit ribosomal RNA
Source: RNAcentral
UACGAAGGGGGCUAGCGUUGUUCGGAAUUACUGGGCGUAAAGGGCGCGUAGGCGGUGUGUCAAGUCAGGCGUGAAAGCCCCGGGCUCAACCUGGGAACCGCGCUUGAGACUGGCACGCUAGAGUUCGGGAGAGGAUGGUGGAAUUCCCAGUGUAGAGGUGAAAUUCGUAGAUAUUGGGAAGAACACCGAUGGCGAAGGCAGCCAUCUGGACCGACACUGACGCUGAGGCGCGAAAGCUAGGGGAGCAAACGGG